RNAcentral lists this non-coding RNA (21 nucleotides) under Caenorhabditis elegans. Lineage: Eukaryota; Metazoa; Nematoda; Chromadorea; Rhabditida; Rhabditidae. The record is from RNAcentral.
UAUUUAGAUGUUGAUAAUAAA